This 2284-nucleotide small RNA is filed under the name Pan troglodytes (chimpanzee). RNAcentral's name for it is "retained intron". The record is from RNAcentral. Lineage: Eukaryota; Metazoa; Chordata; Mammalia; Primates; Hominidae.
AGUGCAGCCCGAAGCCCCGCAGUCCCCGAGCACGCGUGGCCAUGCGUCCCCUGCGCCCCCGCGCCGCGCUGCUGGCGCUCCUGGCCUCGCUCCUGGCCGCGCCCCCGGUGGCCCCGGCCGAGGCCCCGCACCUGGUGCAGGUGGACGCGGCCCGCGCGCUGUGGCCCCUGCGGCGCUUCUGGAGGAGCACAGGCUUCUGGAGGUCCACUGGACGGGGCCUGAGCUACAACUUCACCCACCUGGACGGGUACCUGGACCUUCUCAGGGAGAACCAGCUCCUCCCAGGGUUUGAGCUGAUGGGCAGCGCCUCGGGCCACUUCACUGACUUUGAGGACAAGCAGCAGGUGUUUGAGUGGAAGGACUUGGUCUCCAGCCUGGCCAGGAGAUACAUCGGUAGGUACGGACUGGCGCAUGUUUCCAAGUGGAACUUCGAGACGUGGAACGAGCCAGACCACCACGACUUUGACAACGUCUCCAUGACCAUGCAAGGCUUCCUGAACUACUACGAUGCCUGCUCGGAGGGUCUGCGCGCCGCCAGCCCCGCCCUGCGGCUGGGAGGCCCCGGCGACUCCUUCCACACCCCACCGCGAUCCCCGCUGAGCUGGGGCCUCCUGCGCCACUGCCACGACGGUACCAACUUCUUCACUGGGGAGGCGGGCGUGCGGCUGGACUACAUCUCCCUCCACAGGAAGGUGCGCCCUGCCCCUCCGUCCGCCCCGGUGUUCUGCGCCCUCAGCCGCUGUACCCCGGGCCGCGCUGACCCUGGUGGUGCUGAGGCGGCCCCGCCCGCAGGGUGCGCGCAGCUCCAUCUCCAUCCUGGAGCAGGAGAAGGUCGUCGCGCAGCAGAUCCGGCAGCUCUUCCCCAAGUUCGCGGACACCCCCAUUUACAACGACGAGGCGGACCCGCUGGUGGGCUGGUCCCUGCCACAGCCGUGGAGGGCCGACGUGACCUACGCGGCCAUGGUGGUGAAGGUGGGCCGGCCCAACGCCCUGCGCGCCCCCCGGCCACCUUCCUCCCGGGACGGGACAGGCGAGCGGUGGCCGCGCCACCCGGUCCCAGCUGCCCUGGACACCCGCAGGUCAUCGCGCAGCAUCAGAACCUGCUACUGGCCAACACCACCUCCGCCUUCCCCUACGCGCUCCUGAGCAACGACAAUGCCUUCCUGAGCUACCACCCGCACCCCUUCGCGCAGCGCACGCUCACCGCGCGCUUCCAGGUCAACAACACCCGCCCGCCGCACGUGCAGCUGUUGCGCAAGCCGGUCCUCACCGCCAUGGGGCUGCUGGCGCUGCUGGAUGAGGAGCAGCUCUGGGCCGAAGUGUCGCAGGCCGGGACGGUCCUGGACAGCAACCACACGGUGGGCGUCCUGGCCAGCGCCCACCGCCCCCAGGGCCCGGCCGACGCCUGGCGCGCCGCGGUGCUGAUCUACGCGAGCGACGACACCCGCGCCCACCCCAACCGCAGCGUCGCGGUGACCCUGCGGCUGCGCGGGGUGCCCCCCGGCCCGGGCCUGGUCUACGUCACGCGCUACCUGGACAACGGGCUCUGCAGCCCCGACGGCGAGUGGCGGCGCCUGGGCCGGCCCGUCUUCCCCACGGCAGAGCAGUUCCGGCGCAUGCGCGCGGCUGAGGACCCGGUGGCCGCGGCGCCGCGCCCCUUACCCGCCGGCGGCCGCCUGACCCUGCGCCCCGCGCUGCGGCUGCCGUCGCUUUUGCUGGUGCACGUGUGUGCGCGCCCCGAGAAGGCGCCCGGGCAGGCAAGUGGCAGUCCCCUAACCCGCGCCGCGGCCCGGACUCCCCUUCCCCGACGCCAUCACAGCCCUUCCCUCCCCCAGGUCACGCGGCUCCGCGCCCUGCCCCUGACCCAAGGGCAGCUGGUUCUGGUCUGGUCGGAUGAACACGUGGGCUCCAAGUGCGUGCCUGUGGACAUACGAGAUCCAGUUCUCUCAGGACGGUAAGGCGUACACCCCGAUCAGCAGGAAGCCAUCGACCUUCAACCUCUUUGUGUUCAGCCCAGACACAGGUGCUGUCUCUGGCUCCUACCGAGUUCGAGCCCUGGACUACUGGGCCCGACCAGGCCCCUUCUCGGACCCUGUGCCGUACCUGGAGGUCCCUGUGCCGUACCUGGAGGUCCCUGUGCCAAGAGGGCCCCCAUCCCCGGGCAAUCCAUGAGCCUGUGCUGAGCCCCAGUGGGUUGCACCUCCACCGGCAGUCAGCGAGCUGGAGCUGCACUGUGCCCAUGCUGCCCUCCCAUCACCCCCUUUGCAAUAUAUUUUUAUAUUUU